ACUACUGGGCAACACUUUCAGGCCAUGAUGAGACAACAGAUGCUAACUUUGUACCUUUGAGAUGGUAAAAGAGGUUAUGUUUGACAGAUGAUCAGGAGAACUGGAUUAAGUGGCUUUUGCAAAUAAAAUAGCCUGGAAAAGACUAAGCCAGCCAAAAAGUAUGGAAAAAAAUGUGUCAGGUGAGACAGAAAAAUA
This is a non-coding RNA of Oryzias latipes (Japanese medaka), 195 nucleotides long. Lineage: Eukaryota; Metazoa; Chordata; Actinopteri; Beloniformes; Adrianichthyidae. The record is from RefSeq and is a predicted model, not a curated record.